Molecule: ribosomal RNA, 164 nt
Filed under: uncultured bacterium
Lineage: Bacteria
Description: partial 16S ribosomal RNA
Rfam family: Bacterial small subunit ribosomal RNA
Source: RNAcentral
UAGGGAAUCUUCCACAAUGGGCGAAAGCCUGAUGGAGCAACGCCGCGUGUGUGAUGAAGGCUUUCGGGUCGUAAAGCACUGUUGUAUGGGAAGAACAGCUAGAAUAGGAAAUGAUUUUAGUUUGACGGUACCAUACCAGAAAGGGACGGCUAAAUACGUGCCAU